ACCCUGAUCCAGCCAUGCCGCGUGAGUGAUGAAGGCCCUAGGGUCGUAAAGCUCUUUCGCCUGUGAAGAUAAUGACGGUAGCAGGUAAAGAAACCCCGGCUAACUCCGUGCCAGCAGCCGCGGUAAUACGGAGGGGGUUAGCGUUGUUCGGAAUUACUGGGCGUAAAGCGCACGUAGGCGGAUCGGAAAGUUGGGGGUGAAAUCCCGGGGCUCAACCCCGGAACUGCCUCCAAAACUAUCGGUCUAGAGUUCGAGAGAGGUGAGUGGAAUUCCGAGUGUAGAGGUGAAAUUCGUAGAUAUUCGGAGGAACACCAGUGGCGAAGGCGGCUCACUGGCUCGAUACUGACGCUGAGGUGCGAAAGUGUGGGGAGCAAACAGGAUUAGAUACCCUGGUAGUCCACACCGUAAACGAUGAAUGCCAGUCGUCGGGUAGCAUGCUAUUCGGUGACACACCUAACGGAUUAAGCAUUCCGCCUGGG
This 479-nucleotide ribosomal RNA is filed under the name Ruegeria sp. HDEN25. RNAcentral's name for it is "bacterial SSU rRNA". It matches the Rfam family "Bacterial small subunit ribosomal RNA", at positions 380 to 877 of the family's 1533-position model. Lineage: Bacteria; Pseudomonadati; Pseudomonadota; Alphaproteobacteria; Rhodobacterales; Roseobacteraceae. The record is from RNAcentral.